Molecule: transfer RNA, 63 nt
Filed under: Xylosandrus morigerus
Lineage: Eukaryota; Metazoa; Arthropoda; Insecta; Coleoptera; Curculionidae
Description: tRNA-Gly
Source: RNAcentral
ACUUAAAUAAUAUAAAAAUUAUAUUUGACUUCCAAUCAAAAAAUCUGUGUUACAGUUUAAGUA